UAGAAUGGAGCCUGAAAUAGAAGUCUUGGA
This 30-nucleotide non-coding RNA is filed under the name Mus musculus (house mouse). The record is from RNAcentral. Lineage: Eukaryota; Metazoa; Chordata; Mammalia; Rodentia; Muridae.